This 31-nucleotide non-coding RNA is filed under the name Homo sapiens (human). The record is from RNAcentral. Lineage: Eukaryota; Metazoa; Chordata; Mammalia; Primates; Hominidae.
UACCACAAGUCCACUCUAGAGUUUUGGCUCC